RNAcentral lists this unclassified non-coding RNA (230 nucleotides) under Jurinea blanda. RNAcentral's name for it is "ITS1". The record is from RNAcentral. Lineage: Eukaryota; Viridiplantae; Streptophyta; Magnoliopsida; Asterales; Asteraceae.
AACACGUAAUCACAACUGGGUGUUGCGGGGGUCGGGUGUGAGCCUGGUCCUCGUGAUGCUUUGCUGGCAUGCAUGCAUGGUGUUUCUUGCGAGGCACCGUGGAUGUUGUGUUGGCAUGAUAACAAACCCCCGGCACGGCAUGUGCCAAGGAAAACAAAACAUAAGAACGGCGCGUCCCGUGUUGCCCCGUUCGCGGUGUGCGCGCGGGUCGUGUCUUCUCAUAAAACCAU